Molecule: ribosomal RNA, 460 nt
Filed under: uncultured bacterium
Lineage: Bacteria
Description: partial 16S ribosomal RNA
Rfam family: Bacterial small subunit ribosomal RNA
Source: RNAcentral
CCUACGGGUGGCAGCAGUGAGGAAUAUUGGUCAAUGGGCUUACGCCUGAACCAGCCAAGUCGCGUGAGGGAAGACUGCCCUAUGGGUUGUAAACUUCUUUCGUCAGGGAGCAAUUGGCGCUACGUGUAGCGUUAUCGAGAGUACCUGAAGACAAAGCAUCGGCUAACUCCGUGCCAGCAGCCGCGGUAAUAGGGGGGAUGCGAGCGUUAUCCGGAUUUAUUGGGGUUAAAGGGUGCGUAGGCGGAAUGCCAAGUCCGCGGUAAAAUCGCGGGGCUAAACCUCGCUCCGCCGUUGAAACUGGCGGACUUGAGUGGACGAGAGGUAAGCGGAAGGCGUGGUGUAGCGGUGAAAUGCGUAGAUAUCACGAGGAACACCGGUGGCGAAGGCAGCAUACUGGCGCGCAACUGACGCUGAAGCACGAAAGCGUGGGGAUCGAACAGGAUUAGAUACCCGGGUAGUC